Molecule: non-coding RNA, 28 nt
Filed under: Cricetulus griseus (Chinese hamster)
Lineage: Eukaryota; Metazoa; Chordata; Mammalia; Rodentia; Cricetidae
Source: RNAcentral
UCGAAAGGACAGUGCCGCAAUGAUGACA